UUGAACGCUGGCGGCCUGCUUUACACAUGCCAGUCGCACGGCAGCGCGGGCUUCGGCCUGGCGGCGAGUGGCGAACGGGUGAGUAAUACAUCGGAACGUGCCCAGUAGUGGGGGAUAGCUCGGCGAAAGCCGGAUUAAUACCGCAUACGACCUGAGGGUGAAAGCGGGGGAUCUUCGGACCUCGCGCUAUUGGAGCGGCCGAUGGCAGAUUAGCUAGUUGGUGGGGUAAAGGCCUACCAAGGCGACGAUCUGUAGCUGGUCUGAGAGGACGACCAGCCACACUGGGACUGAGACACGGCCCAGACUCCUACGGGAGGCAGCAGUGGGGAAUUUUGGACAAUGGGCGAAAGCCUGAUCCAGCAAUGCCGCGUGUGUGAUGAAGGCCUCCGGGUUGUAAAGCACUUUUGGCGGGAACGAAAAGGACUGUGCCAAUACCACGGUUCGAUGACGGUACCCGCAGAAUAAGCACCGGCUAACUACGUG
This 483-nucleotide ribosomal RNA is filed under the name uncultured bacterium. RNAcentral describes it as "partial 16S ribosomal RNA". It matches the Rfam family "Bacterial small subunit ribosomal RNA", at positions 29 to 507 of the family's 1533-position model. The record is from RNAcentral.